This 497-nucleotide ribosomal RNA is filed under the name uncultured bacterium. RNAcentral's name for it is "partial 16S ribosomal RNA". It matches the Rfam family "Bacterial small subunit ribosomal RNA", at positions 28 to 507 of the family's 1533-position model. The record is from RNAcentral.
GAUGAACGCUGGCGGCGUGCCUAAUACAUGCAAGUCGAGCGAACGGACGAGAAGCUUGCUUCUCUGAUGUUAGCGGCGGACGGGUGAGUAACACGUGGAUAACCUACCUAUAAGACUGGGAUAACUUCGGGAAACCGGAGCUAAUACCGGAUAAUAUUUUGAACCGCAUGGUUCAAAAGUGAAAGACGGUCUUGCUGUCACUUAUAGAUGGAUCCGCGCUGCAUUAGCUAGUUGGUAAGGUAACGGCUUACCAAGGCAACGAUGCAUAGCCGACCUGAGAGGGUGAUCGCCCACCCUGGAACUGGGCAACGGUCCAGACUCCUACGGGAGGCAGCAGUAGGGAAUCUUCCGCAAUGGGGGAAAGCCUGACGGAGCAACGCCGCGUGAGGGAUGAAGGUCUUCGGAUCGUAAAACUCUGUUAUUAGGGAAGAACAUAUGUGGAAGUAACUGUUCACAUCUUGACGGUACCUAAUCAGAAAGCCACGGCUAACUACGUG